AUGUGCUCGCGGCGGCAGGCUGCUCCCUGUCCUCGCCGCGCUGUUCGUGGCGCUGCUUCUCCUCUCCGGCUCCACGGCGGAAGGGGAGGACGAGGAGGGCUCGCCGGGGCGCCGGAGGAUCCGGAGGCGCCGAUGGAGGCCAAGGAGAAGGCGGCCCUGUACGCCGCCAUCGGGAGCUUCGUGGGCAAGGCGUGGAACGGCUCCGGCCUCUUCUCUGACCCCUGCAGCCAGACUCCCAUCCAGUGAAAUAAUUGCUUCUUGGAUCCAAUUUUUUGGUUUCCUGCAGGGGGUGUCAUCGGUCCAGUGCUCGACAACUCGCUGCAGUGCGCCCCGGACGCCAGGUUCAGCCCCAAGUUGUUCGGCCUCCGGUGCCUCAAGAGCCUCACCUUCUACGCCUGCUUCCCGGCGGCCAACUCCACGGCCAUCCCGGUGACAAACUGGGACAAGCUCUCCGGCACCCUCGAGACGCUCGAGUUCCACUCAAACCCGGGCCUGGCCGGCGCCAUCCCGGCGUCCCUCGGCCGCCUGGCCAGCCUGCAGUCCCUGGUCCUCAUCGACGACAACCUCACCGGCGCCCUGGAGCUUGGCGGGCUGGCGAAGCUGCGGCGGCUCGUGCUGUCCGGGAACGGGCUGUCGGGCCCCGUGUCGGCCACGCUCGGUAACCCCCGCCGCCUCGACGAGCUGCUGGCCAUGGACAUGAGCAAGAACUCUCUAACCGGGUCUCUGCCUCCGUCGCUAGGUGGGCUCAAGGGGCUGCUUAAGAUGGACCUCGGCAAUAACCGCCUCGACGGGCGCAUCCCGCCGGAGCUCGCCGGCCUGGAGAGCCUCACGUUGCUCGACCUCCGGAACAACAACCUCACCGGCGGGCUGCCGGAGUUCGUGCUGGGCAUGGCGGCCCUGCAGGACCUGCUGCUCUCGAGCAACCCGCUGCUGGGAGGAACCCUGAUGCGGCACGAGAAGAUGGCGAGCCUGGCCACGCUGGACCUGUUCAACGUCCUCGCAGGCACCAUCCCGGAGUCCAUGGUGGCGAUGCCCAGGUUGCGGUUCCUCUUGCUAGACCACAACCGCCUCUCCGGCACCGUGCCGGCCAAGCUCGUAGCGUUGCCGGCGACAUGA
This 1116-nucleotide ribosomal RNA is filed under the name Triticum aestivum (bread wheat). RNAcentral describes it as "partial small subunit ribosomal RNA". The record is from RNAcentral. Lineage: Eukaryota; Viridiplantae; Streptophyta; Magnoliopsida; Poales; Poaceae.